RNAcentral lists this ribosomal RNA (278 nucleotides) under uncultured bacterium. RNAcentral describes it as "partial 16S ribosomal RNA". It matches the Rfam family "Bacterial small subunit ribosomal RNA", at positions 29 to 334 of the family's 1533-position model. The record is from RNAcentral.
AACGAACGCUGGCGGCAGGCCUAAUACAUGCAAGUCGAACGAAGCCUUCGGGUUUAGUGGCGCACGGGUGAGUAACGCGUGGGAAUGUACCCUUGGGUGCGGAACAACAGUUGGAAACGACUGCUAAUACCGCAUAAUAUCUCCGGAUCAAAGAUUUAUCGCCCAAGGAUCAGCCCGCGUUAGAUUAGCUUGUUGGUGGGGUAAAAGCCUACCAAGGCGACGAUCUAUAGCUGGUCUGAGAGGAUGAUCAGCCACACUGGAACUGAGACACGGUCCAG